Molecule: long non-coding RNA, 2629 nt
Organism: Felis catus (domestic cat)
Lineage: Eukaryota; Metazoa; Chordata; Mammalia; Carnivora; Felidae
Exons: 4
Source: RefSeq, a predicted model, not a curated record
AGAAAGGAUUCUUCUCAGAAUGGGAUGAUUCGGGCUGGAUCCAUCUCCCGAUUUACGAUCAAUCAACUUCUUAAUUGAAAUUAAAAUUUAUCAGGGGAUACACUUGUCUUUGAUAGUACAAUUUGUAUCCAUGAAGAAGAAACAGCAUAGUUUGGUUUCAAAUUUACUUGAAAACACCUACACAGAGUUGGAAGUUCCUAAAGUGUCAACAGCUGAAAUGUCCCAGGAACUGCUAACGCUUUUCAUGUAGAAUCAGAGAUGGAAAAUUACUGGAUUUAAAGAAUGAAGAAGAAGGACGGAGGGCUGAGCUCUCCGCUCAAGUGGGAACUGACCUCCGAUCCAUGUCUGUCUGUGGCGAGUGUCACAGCCCUGCAGGAAGCAACCGGGACCUAACUGGCUGCUCCGUUGGACACCUGUGGACAGAAUCUAGAAAGAAGAGGCAAUAUACCAGCACCACAAACCUCCAGGACCAAUCGUAGAACUGGCUGUAGCUCAUUAUGUAUCUCAGAAAGUGCAAGAAAAUGAUUUUAACUUACUCCAAAAAUUUAAGAAGCCUCCUAGCACAUUUUUUUUCCUUGAGUGCCAAAGUUAUAAUCUUCACACAGAAAUAAGAAGGAAGCAUGAAGCAUAUCUGCUUUAUAACAUCCCAAAAUAUAUAAUGAAAAGCGUUGAAGUGUUUCUCAAAGAACACCUGAAUAAUUUCUAAAUAAAUUAAUGGCGAAUUUAAGAAUAAUCUCCCUGAGACAUUGAAGAAUGGGAAGGGGAUUAUUUUCUGGCCUUGAAUUUUGGUUCUAAGAGGUAACUAUAAUUUUAUUUCUGCCUGUGUUUUGAUUCGUAUGAGUAUCCAAAGCCCUGACAUUUGCUUUGAGAAACUUCCAUGCCGCAAAAAAUAGACUGCAGUCCGAGUUCACCUCGGCAGUUUUUGCAUAAAGACCUUGUGGCUGUGUGGACCACAGUUAUAUAUUAAUAGGCUUUGGUGUAAUUCCAGGGCUGAAAUCCACUAAGAAAUGGCAACAAAAAAAAAAACGAUAUAACUUUCCAUCAGUUCCUACUCGGCUUGGCUUCAGAUACUGUUUUAUGAACAAUCUAAACAUCUUAUCACAUCAAUUCACAGACACCAGGGUCUCUGGGCCUGUCUACUUCCUGAGGCACAGAAGUUUAGAUAGAAAUGAUUCCUAUGGAGCAUGGAGGGUGGAAAGUGGAUGGAACGCUGCUUCAUCAGAUCAAGAUUUGCAUCACGAUUGAUUAGCUGAGUUCCCCUAGCAAGACUGUGCCCCUGGGCUUAACUAUCCCAUCUCGAAACUGGGAAUAAUAAAUAAAACCGACAUCAUGGAGGAAAACCUUUUUUUUUUUUUAGAGUGGAAGCAAGGGCACAUGAACACUGAGUUCUUUUCCUUUCUCCAUGCAUCCUGUGCAAGAUUUAAAAGGAAGUGGUGACCAGUUUACAGACCGAGUUAAUCUUGAUGUGGCCGUUUAGAAUUCAUAUUCUGUCUCUUGAGGUACAAGGACUUCUUGAACUACAACUCUCCACUGGCUUUCAUAACAUUCAGCCUGCAAAUCUCAGGAAAGAUCGGCCUGCCAAGCCGAUCACAGCUUCAACUGUGAUCAUUAGAUGCAGGCUACACUGGACCCAUUGAGCUCAGUGUUUACUCUUGAAUAUUGCUGCUUAGGGAAAGGCGGACAUGGGUGCUUUUGAUGACAACAUGAUCAAAGGCAAGGUGUUUCUCCUACAUACCUCCGAACUACUAAGGGCUGCCCGGGUCCCAGUCCAUGAAUACAACACAUCUUAUCUUCCUGUAAUCGUCUUGGUCUUUGUUUUACUAAUGUUAGAUAUGCUGCUCAAAAUCUUUGCCUAUUGACCUCAGCUUCCAAUCUCUUUCUCCUAUCACCAAACAAAAUACCCUAUAGUCCUGACCAGCCGGUUGACCCUCACAAAGGUCCUGAACACCUAUUUUUUUCUCCCAGACAACACAUUUGGAUAAUCACGAGACAGGAGCCACAGCGACUCUUACUCAAAUGACAUGUCCAGUUUAUCAUCCUUUUAGUAUCAAAGUUUUUCGGCAUUUUCCUGUUAAUUUAUGACUGAAAGUAUGCAUAGAUCUAUAUAUGUACACUGUGUCUCCAAUCAUGUAGGUCAUUUUUCAACUUUUAUUGGGUUGAUUUCAUGAAGAACUAUCGCCUCUUAUGGCUGUAAGUCAUGGGCCUAUUUGAAUUAUUCUAACCAGAACCAAGUGCAAAUGUUCACAAAACAAUCUGAGCUUAGAAUUAUAACACUGAUAUCUGAUAUAUGAAUUCCGGGUCUUAAUGAGCUUCUAGACUAUCAGAGAAGACACAACUUACAUAUCGCUGGUCAACACAAUGCCCACACAACCGACAGACGCUUUUCCAACUGGCAUUUUGAACGAAUUAUGAGGAAUGCACCCUGAACUGAGGACAGAAGGUGUCACUACAGGUGACACUUUGUGGGGCUCAAUCUGAACAGGAACAAGAAUCCUCUAAACCUAGAUCUUCCUGACUCUCUUCUCAACACAAGGCUUUACGCCUCUCAGCAGCUUCCAAUUUGAUGUAUAUCAUAGCAUUUUUUUAGACGAUUUCAUGUUCACCCUUACCUUCUCUCUUCUAGAGGCUC